AGGGCUGAAGCAAGAGAGAACCAGGCCCAUUUGGGGAGCUGCUCGUCACUACUGGAGCACAAGGGCCGGGAAGAGCAAGGCAGGCCAGGCUGGAUGAGGAAGGAGCUGGCCCCUCUGCCAAAGGCUGUGAUCCUGUGGGCACUGGGGAGUUCAUGACGGAUUUUAAACUGGGGCUGGGGAUUCUUAAGGCCCAGUUUCUGGUUAAGAAAAAUCCCGUGGUCACCAUGAAAGGGUUUAAGUGAGGUGGAGAGUGGAAACCCAGCUAGGAAGGAGAAAACAAGGGCCUGACCCAAUGCAGUGGGAGAGAGAGAGAAGGGAAGGGGCAGGGUUAGGGAGACAGGACCAAGUGCAUGUGGGCUGGGGAAGGAGGAACAGGCCGUUUGAGGAAGAGGAUGAGUCAGUUUGGACAGGCUGAAUUGGAGGUGCCUGUGGGAAAUCAGAUAGAGAAGCCCCAGGGUGGCUGAUAGAAGAGUUUAAAGAGGACUGUAUCCAGGGGCCCAUGUCUCAAGGGACAGGAGGCAGUUUAAGCCAUGAAGUCCACCAGCUGGGAGGCUUCUCUAGACUUUUAUCUUCAGGAAAAUCUGAAUUGAGGUAUAGCUCCCUCAUCUUUGCUUCUCUCUCAAGUCUUUUGAGAGAGAGGGUUAGAAAAAUAAUCUUGAAAGUGAAGAGGAAAAAUCCAGGAGGCGAUGGGUCUCCCAGGAAAAUGUUGAGAAAUCAUAAACGUGUGGUCCCUGAACAGGUCUCAGAACACCCAUAGGGAGUCCGCGCCCUUCCCGGUGAAGUCUCAUUGCCCAGUGAAGUAGAGGGCAGAUUCAAAACAAGGCAUCGAGCAGGGCUGAAGCAGAUGGGAUACAGAGAAACUGCUGCCGACAGCGGUGGGACCAGUAAGGAGGACCCGAGGAAGAGAGACCAGGAGAGGCAAAAAGGCAGAGCUUCACCCCUGCGGAGCCUCAGAGGGCGGUGUCGGAGAAACCCCUGUGAGGUUUGAGGGCGAAUCUCACUGUAAGGGGGUGAGAGGGGCUUGACUUUCAAACUGCAGCUAUGAGAAAUAUUAGUAAACCUUAGCAAAGCAGUGA
Pteropus alecto (black flying fox) is the source of this 1076-nucleotide long non-coding RNA. RefSeq lists it as uncharacterized. The transcript has 2 exons. Lineage: Eukaryota; Metazoa; Chordata; Mammalia; Chiroptera; Pteropodidae. The record is from RefSeq and is a predicted model, not a curated record.